Molecule: long non-coding RNA, 294 nt
Filed under: Glycine max (soybean)
Lineage: Eukaryota; Viridiplantae; Streptophyta; Magnoliopsida; Fabales; Fabaceae
Description: long non-coding RNA (GMAX_LNC001268)
Source: RNAcentral
GAUGAUUAAUGAAAUGAUCGUGUGGGCGUGGGUGUGAUUUUCCAGAGAGAGACUCAAGCUUCUCUAGCAACCGUAUCAUGCCUGACAUCAAGAAUUCAUAGUGCGAGUCCAUAGUGGAUUGAAGCUUGGAAUAUUGUAAUUGCUACAAUUGAUGGUGUUGUCAGGUUGUGUUUGGAAGGCAGCCAACUUUUUGGUGAGAACAUGGAGAUGGUGGUCUUGAAAAUUAUCCAGCUAGAGUGUGGAGGUUUGUUAGCUUAGCGGUGAUGUUAUGGAGGUGAAGGUCGUCCAUGAUUG